AAAUUUAUUUACAAACGUCUCCAAUGACAAAUCAAACAAAACGAACAGUCACUCGGUACAUAAAUAGCUCCCCUGCUGCCAGACGGAGUUAAAUAACACAUCACAUGACUCUUCUCGGUGCUGAUUCCCCAGUGCAGAGCUUUAUGCUGAUCGUUUACUGAGCAUGUGCGCAAGUUGAAACAUUUUACAUAUACAUUUUUCUAGGCUCCCUGGUGCCUAAACUGAAUUCCCGGUCAAAGCACAGCAUCUAGGAUGAUGUGGGAGCACUGCAAGCCUGCAGAGGUGAUCGCCCUCCACUUGUUCUGGUGCAGCUACACAUGUGCUUAACGCAGGGCUGGAACAGAAGUCUUUCCACGAUUCCUUGGUGUCUUUCAUUUUCCUCUCCACUGGUCUUUCCGUGGUGUUUUUGGGAGGGGGCAAGGAAUGACGGUUACAGUUCUGCAGCCCUGAGCUGGUGUGAAGUCCUUCCCUGCGCUGAGGCCCUCAGUCUAAGAAGCCAUUUUGAAAAGGCAGAGCUUCACGAGCACCGGUCCUGACGUUUGAGUGCAUGCAGACAGGCUAACUGAAAAUGUUGACUCGUUUUGUGCUUCGGGAAUGACCGAGUGAAAAAGAGAGCGGCGUUAUUCACAGGAUUCAGACAGAGGAGGUUUCUGUUCUUAUUUUGCAUUUGACCUGAAACGACAGAAAAGAGGUUUCAUACCAUUGUUAGUUGGUUUAGAAGCAGUGGUGAGAAACAUGUAUGCACUUAAAAGACUGCUCGCUGUCCUGAACCCCCCCCCCCCAAUUUCUCUCGCUCUCUAGAAGCACUCAAACGCUGGUAAUGUACUCCAUGUGUCUGACUGAACCAAACACCCCGUCACCAUAAACAGACUGCAGCCGCUGUCGUGCUCAACAGAGAGACACAGAACCUUCGAAAACCAAACCCAGAGAGUGAGUAAGAAGUAUUGAGAAGAUACAUUUAGAUGAGACCACGUCUGUGUGACUGCAGGACAGUGAAAAAGUCAAAGAGAGGGUGUGUGUUUCCCCUUGUUCCGCUGUGGUUCGGCGCUCCACCGAUGAGGGGUGCUAGCUUUAAUGACUGCACUGUCACGACUGUUUCCCUUCGCUUCCAAAGCACCUCCCUCCCCAAAUGUUUACUCAGCAGCCUGACAUUUAAUUGUUCCCUCCCCAGGUUAGAGGAACCGUUCUGGGGGACCAGAGGGAAAAAGGGGGGCCUCCAUAGACAUGGGGGGACUGUCAAGGUGUCCUUGGCUUGGUGUUUGUCUUCACUUUACCCAUAGUUCAUAAAACCUCCAGAAGUGGCCAGACCCAUAAGUCCUUGGUCGCUGGUUAGAUAUUCACACUUUCCAGACGUCUUUCAUUGUGAAGUGGUUCAUCUAUUAUAAGUAAUCUAUUAUGAGUCAUCUAUUUGAAUCAUAAUUCAAAAUGACUUGUAUGUUGGUGGAAAACUGUUAGAAAAGUUCUUCAGGAAAGAAUUACAGUCUCUAGUGGAAAGAUUAAGUAACAUACAUGUAAACAGCAGCUUGUGUAGUUAAGUGAGGUUUCCAAAAUGACACAGUGAAUGACAGUACCCCUCCCCUUCAGGAAGAUGCCUGGGUGUACAGUACCUACCCCCCCAUCAAGGAGAGGUCUGGGUGUGUCUGUAGGUCUCGUUGGUGAUGGAGAGGCGUGUGAGUCUGGCACCGUAGUAAUCCACUAUGUACUCCGACCUAUCCGAUGGACCCACAAUCUGAAGGGGGAGGAAACAGGAAGUGCAGAUACAUGCUGACGUCAGACCAACUUCAGCUAAGCUACGGCUCAAUAACGAUGUACUCCACCCUAGAAUGAGUCCAUGGCAGAGAGUGGCCCCGUG
Long non-coding RNA from Esox lucius (northern pike), 1852 nucleotides. NCBI's taxonomy places the organism in Eukaryota, Metazoa, Chordata, Actinopteri, Esociformes, Esocidae. The record is from Ensembl.